UUGACCUCGGAUCAGGUAGGGCUACCCGCUGAACUUAAGCAUAUCAAUAAGCGGAGGAAAAGAAACCAACAGGGAUUGCCUCAGUAACGGCGAGUGAAGCGGCAAGAGCUCAAAUUUGAAAUCUGGCUCCUCCGGGGCCCGAGUUGUAAUUUGGAGAGGAUGCUUCGGGCGUGGCCCCUAUCUAAGUGCCCUGGAACGGGCCGU
This 204-nucleotide ribosomal RNA is filed under the name Talaromyces sp. RNAcentral describes it as "partial 28S ribosomal RNA". It matches the Rfam family "Eukaryotic large subunit ribosomal RNA", at positions 1 to 203 of the family's 3401-position model. The record is from RNAcentral. Lineage: Eukaryota; Fungi; Ascomycota; Eurotiomycetes; Eurotiales; Trichocomaceae.